Molecule: ribosomal RNA, 496 nt
Filed under: uncultured bacterium
Lineage: Bacteria
Description: partial 16S ribosomal RNA
Rfam family: Bacterial small subunit ribosomal RNA
Source: RNAcentral
GAUGAACGCUGGCGGCGUGCCUAAUACAUGCAAGUCGAGCGAACGGACGAGAAGCUUGCUUCUCUGAUGUUAGCGGCGGACGGGUGAGUAACACGUGGAUAACCUACCUAUAAGACUGGGAUAACUUCGGGAAACCGGAGCUAAUACCGGAUAAUAUUUUGAACCGCAUGGUUCAAAAGUGAAAGACGGUCUUGCUGUCACUUAUAGAUGGAUCCGCGCUGCAUUAGCUAGUUGGUAAGGUAACGGCUUACCAAGGCAACGAUGCAUAGCCGACCUGAGAGGGUGAUCGGCCACACUGGAACUGAGACACGGUCCAGACUCCUACGGGAGGCAGCAGUAGGGAAUCUUCCGCAAUGGGCGAAAGCCUGACGGAGCAACGCCGCGUGAGUGAUGAAGGUCUUCGGAUCGUAAAGCUCUGUUAUUAGGGAAGAACAUAUGUGUAAGUAACUGUGCACAUCUUGACGGUACCUAAUCAGAAAACCACGGCUAACUACGU